Molecule: RNA transcript, 1132 nt
Organism: Papaver somniferum (opium poppy)
Lineage: Eukaryota; Viridiplantae; Streptophyta; Magnoliopsida; Ranunculales; Papaveraceae
Exons: 5
Source: RefSeq, a predicted model, not a curated record
AUUCGAAUUUAGGGUUUUCGGUAUUUUGAAUUUUGCAUUCAAAAGAAGAUAAAACCCCCAAAAUCACGGCUGCUAUAACCCCUAGUUGAUUGAAAUUUUUCGAAUCCUUUGAUUUGAAAUGCACAACUUUCACAAUCAGAUUAACCCUCAUGUUCCACCACCGGUUCCUCAUACCCUAAACCAGUUCAUACCAUCUACAGCAAAAUCUAUGUUUGAUAUGAAGAAGGUUAAAGAAGAUACUAAGGAGCAAAAGCAAAAACAAGGGUAGUGCAGGUACCUGGAGUGAUGGAAAAUUGGUCACUAAAAUAGGAAGGAACAGUGAUAGUGUGAUGGCACUGAAAGUUAUUGGCCACACCUGAUCUGCAUAAAUGUGAUCUUUUGGUUGAUUCUGAAAUGUUUGAGGAGGAUAACGUGUCAGCAUUGCUUUCUAUCUCGUUAGUUUUAAAAACCUUUACAGCCUAAAAUCUAGUGAGUGGAAGCUGUUAGGUGCAAGGAGCAUCAGCAGGUCUCUCCAACUCUGACAAAAUCCUCAACGACCAUGGGUUUCAGAUUCAGAUACAAUCUUGCAGAGUUUUCACUUGCUGAGUGUGCAUCUGACCUCAGUUGAUUUGUGCAGACGUACAAUAACUUUCAGUUGAUUUCCGGCAACACCACAAGAUCUGGGCUUGAGUUACACCUUCUUAACUCAAAAGAAUGUUUGAAGAUUCUUAAUUCUUUUAAUUGCUUAACAUUGAUGAUUUACUAUAAUGUACUUACUUUGUUCAUUUUCUCUUUAUAGAUUACUAUCAACUUUGGUCCCAUACUGCUGGUGGACAGAAUCUAGUAAUUGGAUGCCUCUUGAGGAAUUUAAAGAACAAAGCAGUUGGACGUUUUAACUGUAGUACGCCACCAAAUGAUGAAAAUUAUGAAGUCCUUAUCGAUGAAGUUAUUGAUAUCCCUAUGGAACAGUUGAAGGUAUUGAUCCCGACGAGACGAUUGAAUGGCCAAAGCAAUACGUAACUCAUGGACGUGCAUAUUCAUACUGUUUUUUUUUUCUUCUUCUUUGUUGUUUUGAACAUGAAGCAACUUUUGUUGUUGAAUUUAAAGUUGUUUGGGUUGUUAAGUUGUUAAUUGAAUUCAAAGUUAAUGUUAA